UACGGAGGGUGCAAGCGUUAAUCGGAAUUACUGGGCGUAAAGCGCGCGUAGGCGGUUGUGUAAGUCGGAUGUGAAAGCCCCGGGCUUAACCUGGGAAUCGCUUUCGAUACUGCACGGCUAGAGUCUGGGAGAGGGAAGUGGAAUUCCGGGUGUAGCGGUGAAAUGCGUAGAUAUCCGGAGGAACACCAGUGGCGAAGGCGACUUCCUGGCCUAAGACUGACGCUGAGGUGCGAAAGCGUGGGGAGCAAACAGG
RNAcentral lists this unclassified non-coding RNA (253 nucleotides) under uncultured Gammaproteobacteria bacterium. Its description in RNAcentral is "contains 16S-23S intergenic spacer region". It matches the Rfam family "Bacterial small subunit ribosomal RNA", at positions 524 to 776 of the family's 1533-position model. The record is from RNAcentral. Lineage: Bacteria; Pseudomonadati; Pseudomonadota; Gammaproteobacteria.